GCCAGGUACUGUAGGUGUCCAUGUUUAUGGGAUGUGAAGGAGGCCAGGUACUGUAAGUGUCCAUGUUUAUGGGAUGUGAAGGAGGCCAGGUACUGUCGGUGUCCAUGUUUAUGGGAUGUGAAGGAGGCCAGGUACUGUAAGUGUCCAUGUUUAUGGGAUGUGAUGGAGGCCAGGUACUGUAGGUGUCCAUGUUUAUGGGAUGUGAAGGAGGCCAGGUACUGUAGGUGUCCAUGUUUAUGGGAUGUGAUGGAGGCCAGGUACUGUAGGUGUCCAUGUUUAUGGGAUGUGAUGGAGGCCAGGUACUGUAGGUGUCCAUGUUUAUGGGAUGUGAUGGAGGCCAGGUACUGUAGGUGUCCAUGUUAAUGGGAUGUGAUGGAGGCCAGGUACUGUAGGUGUCCAUGUUUAUGGGAUGUGAUGGAGGCCAGGUACUGUAGGUGUCCAUGUUUAUGGGAUGUGAAGGAGGCCAGGUACUGUAGGUGUCCAUGUUUAUGGGAUGUGAUGGAGGCCAGGUACUGUAGGUGUCCAUGUUUAUGGGAUGUGAUCGAGGCCAGGUACUGUAGGUGUCCAUGUUUAUGGGAUGUGAU
This is a long non-coding RNA of Oncorhynchus keta (chum salmon), 584 nucleotides long. RefSeq lists it as uncharacterized. Lineage: Eukaryota; Metazoa; Chordata; Actinopteri; Salmoniformes; Salmonidae. The record is from RefSeq and is a predicted model, not a curated record. The transcript is spliced from 3 exons.